AUAUAUGUACGGCUGUUUUCACCAAGGUCGACAAGUUCUGUUAAUAAUUUACAAAUGAAAAUCACAUGACGCUGUGUAACGUCACCAGUCGCUAAUUACUGAAAAUCGUAUAACGCUACAUACAAAAUCGCAUGAAAUCACUGGUUGUUAAUUGCUGAUGCUACAUUAACGUUACCAGACGUUAUGGUGUUAAAAGAAGGGUUAUUUAUCCAGAUACAUUACGAGCGGUCACGGUCUAAAAAUCACUUGCUCCUUUGAACCUUUUCCAUUUUUGGAAAGUAUUAUUAUUUUGAUUAAUGAAAUUACUAAGUUUUCAAAAAUAUGCUUCAGUGACAGGAAAAUCGUAUUGCAAACUCUGGUAAAGCGAAACUCCGAUCUACCUUUUUGUUCAAUUGCACACACGCGUUCUAACCAUCGAAUUACAAGAGAAAGUGACCAGUUUAAAUUACAAUGGUUCCGUGGAUGUUACAGUACACACCGAAUAAAAAAAAAAAAAUAAAAUUGCUGCAAUUAAGAUCCGGAUAUCUGAAAUUUUCUCACGUCGAGCAGACACUUACAAGGAAGUUCUCUUGACUUUUUCUCAAAAGAUCAUGCUCGAUGACACUAGAAUGUAGAUUGUGCAACAGGUUACGCGGUUCAUCGACAGCGAAACAAUCUGUGAGCAAUCGAGAUCAUUGACCUUUGUAAACUCAACCGAGUAGCAUGCAAUAUCUAGUAAUAUCAUCUCAGAAAGAAGCGAGUACAAACAACUCAAAUUUUACAAAUUCUCCGCAAGUCUGAGCUAUAAAAGUAAAGAAAAAUUGAAAUGAGAAACAUUAUCUCAGAUGAUUACAUUGAGAAACGAAAUUGUUGCUUUUCUAUAUACAGAAAGAAAAUUGAUCAAGGUGAUGUACAUGAAAGAAAAUAAGAUCUAUUUGUUAGGCUGUUACCGUAACGCAUUUCAUCGAGCGCAUGCAUUCGUGACGGAACUGUAAAGUGUAAAGCAUGCGCACAUUUAAACAGUGCACACGACAACGAACAAUUAUCGCGACUUUUGUCGUUUGCCAUUCCCGGUAUGCAUCGAGCGUGCAUUCCAAAUCCUCAUUAUAUAUUUAAUUACAAUUAACCACAAAAUAAACAAUUCAUGGACUGCUUGAUUUCCAACGUAUAGCAUACUAAACGUUGUGAAAAGGAAAGCUACUUGCAACGUAUCCAAGCUACUUGCAACGUCAUACGUCAGUGAUCGAUUUGACAGUGUCAUUGCUGUUAGAAAAAUCAACAUCCACAUUUCAAAUGAAAUUGAAUAAGAAUACAUGAUAAAACAAAAACGAUAUUAUUUAGAUAGAAAUCUAUAUAGAAAUAACUUCUCAAAUUAAUUUCCUAAUAUUCUGUCCACGAAGUGUAUCGGUGGUUUGCGUAAGAAGGAUCCAAAGCGCAAGUAGUGUCAAGCAUGGAUGAGCAACGACCAACAACUAACUCAUUAAGCCGAUUCUCAUUUCCGGUGAGUGUGGCAAUAAGAUUGAACAAACGAGAAUGAAAGACGCGGUUCGCGAGUUUAGCAAGAGUCUACAACGGUUUGGCUUAUUGUUCUCUAUUGUCAACGACUAAACAACGAAUAAAACAAGUAAUAAUUAAAAAAAAAAAAGUGAGAACUCUCACCG
This is a long non-coding RNA of Frieseomelitta varia, 1640 nucleotides long. RefSeq lists it as uncharacterized. NCBI's taxonomy places the organism in Eukaryota, Metazoa, Arthropoda, Insecta, Hymenoptera, Apidae. The transcript is spliced from 3 exons. The record is from RefSeq and is a predicted model, not a curated record.